GUAAGGGCGCGUAGGCGGACAGUUAAGUUGGGGGUGAAAGCCCGGGGCUCAACCUCGGAAAUGCCUUCAAUACUGGCUGUCUUGAGUACGGGAGAGGUGAGUGGAACUCCGAGUGUAGAGGUGAAAUUCGUAGAUAUUCGGAAGAACACCAGUGGCGAAGGCGACUCACUGGCCCGUUACUGACGCUGAGGCGCGAAAGCGUGGGGAGCAAACAGGAUUAGAUACCCUGGUAGUCCA
Molecule: ribosomal RNA, 237 nt
Filed under: uncultured Caulobacter sp.
Lineage: Bacteria; Pseudomonadati; Pseudomonadota; Alphaproteobacteria; Caulobacterales; Caulobacteraceae
Description: partial 16S ribosomal RNA
Rfam family: Bacterial small subunit ribosomal RNA
Source: RNAcentral